AAAAGGACGCGCUCCGGCGCACUACUCCUCUCAGCCCGCGGCCGCGAGGCCCGGUCUUGAUUGAGUCCCUUAACCCUUUGUGAACUUUCAUACCUUUUUGCUUCGGCAGCGCGCCCCUCGCGGGGUUGGUAAGGCUGCCGACAGCCCAUUCAAACUAUAUUAUUUCAAAUCAUGAAGUCUGAUUACUGUUAAAUUUAAACAAGUUAAAACUUUCAGCAACGGAUCUCUUGGUUCU
RNAcentral lists this unclassified non-coding RNA (235 nucleotides) under rhizosphere metagenome. Its description in RNAcentral is "partial ribosomal RNA internal transcribed spacer region". The record is from RNAcentral.